CUCAGGAUGAACGCUAGCGACAGGCUUAACACAUGCAAGUCGAGGGGCAGCACAGGUAGCAAUACCGGGUGGCGACCGGCGCACGGGUGAGUAACGCGUAUGCAACUUGCCUAUCAGAGGGGGAUAACCCGGCGAAAGUCGGACUAAUACCGCAUGAAGCAGGGGCCCCGCAUGGGGAUAUUUGCUAAAGAUUCAUCGCUGAUAGAUAGGCAUGCGUUCCAUUAGGCAGUUGGCGGGGUAACGGCCCACCAAACCGACGAUGGAUAGGGGUUCUGAGAGGAAGGUCCCCCACAUUGGUACUGAGACACGGACCAAACUCCUACGGGAGGCAGCAGUGAGGAAUAUUGGUCAAUGGCCGAGAGGCUGAACCAGCCAAGUCGCGUGAGGGAUGAAGGUUCUAUGGAUCGUAAACCUCUUUUAUAAGGGAAUAAAGUGCGGGACGUGUCCCGUUUUGUAUGUACCUUAUGAAUAAGGAUCGGCUAACUCCGUGCCAGCAGCCGCGGUAAUACGGAGGAUCCGAGCGUUAUCCGGAUUUAUUGGGUUUAAAGGGUGCGUAGGCGGCCUUUUAAGUCAGCGGUGAAAGUCUGUGGCUCAACCAUAGAAUUGCCGUUGAAACUGGGGGGCUUGAGUAUGUUUGAGGCAGGCGGAAUGCGUGGUGUAGCGGUGAAAUGCAUAGAUAUCACGCAGAACCCCGAUUGCGAAGGCAGCCUGCCAAGCCAUUACUGACGCUGAUGCACGAAAGCGUGGGGAUCAAACAGGAUUAGAUACCCUGGUAGUCCACGCAGUAAACGAUGAUCACUAGCUGUUUGCGAUACACUGUAAGCGGCACAGCGAAAGCGUUAAGUGAUCCACCUGGGGAGUACGCCGGCAACGGUGAAACUCAAAGGAAUUGACGGGGGCCCGCACAAGCGGAGGAACAUGUGGUUUAAUUCGAUGAUACGCGAGGAACCUUACCCGGGUUUGAACGCAUUCGGACCGAGGUGGAAACACCUUUUCUAGCAAUAGCCGUUUGCGAGGUGCUGCAUGGUUGUCGUCAGCUCGUGCCGUGAGGUGUCGGCUUAAGUGCCAUAACGAGCGCAACCCUUGCCACUAGUUACUAACAGGUAAAGCUGAGGACUCUGGUGGGACUGCCAGCGUAAGCUGCGAGGAAGGCGGGGAUGACGUCAAAUCAGCACGGCCCUUACAUCCGGGGCGACACACGUGUUACAAUGGCGUGGACAAAGGGAAGCCACCUGGCGACAGGGAGCGAAUCCCCAAACCACGUCUCAGUUCGGAUCGGAGUCUGCAACCCGACUCCGUGAAGCUGGAUUCGCUAGUAAUCGCGCAUCAGCCAUGGCGCGGUGAAUACGUUCCCGGGCCUUGUACACACCGCCCGUCAAGCCAUGGGAGCCGGGGGUACCUGAAGUCCGUAACCGCGAGGAUCGGCCUAGGGUAAAACUGGUGACUGGGGCUAAGUCGUAACAAGGWAACCCGUA
RNAcentral lists this ribosomal RNA (1475 nucleotides) under Parabacteroides sp. RNAcentral describes it as "bacterial SSU rRNA". Lineage: Bacteria; Pseudomonadati; Bacteroidota; Bacteroidia; Bacteroidales; Tannerellaceae. The record is from RNAcentral.